RNAcentral lists this transfer RNA (77 nucleotides) under Thermofilum sp. RNAcentral describes it as "tRNA-Ala". It matches the Rfam family "tRNA". From Rfam's summary of the family: Transfer RNA (tRNA) molecules are approximately 80 nucleotides in length. Their secondary structure includes four short double-helical elements and three loops (D, anti-codon, and T loops). Further hydrogen bonds mediate the characteristic L-shaped molecular structure. tRNAs have two regions of fundamental functional importance: the anti-codon, which is responsible for specific mRNA codon recognition, and the 3' end, to which the tRNAs corresponding amino acid is attached (by aminoacyl-tRNA synthetases). tRNAs cope with the degeneracy of the genetic code in two manners: having more than one tRNA (with a specific anti-codon) for a particular amino acid; and 'wobble' base-pairing, i.e. permitting non-standard base-pairing at the 3rd anti-codon position. The record is from RNAcentral. Lineage: Archaea; Thermoproteati; Thermoproteota; Thermoprotei; Thermofilales; Thermofilaceae. RNAcentral also lists the same sequence under 8 other names.
GGGCCGGUAGCUCAGCCCGGAAGAGCGCCGCCCUCGCACGGCGGAGGUCCCGGGUUCAAAUCCCGGCCGGUCCACCA